This 390-nucleotide unclassified non-coding RNA is filed under the name Hevea brasiliensis (rubber tree). Lineage: Eukaryota; Viridiplantae; Streptophyta; Magnoliopsida; Malpighiales; Euphorbiaceae. The record is from RNAcentral.
GAUGAAAAAAGAAAAGCUCUUGGUUCUGUCCCAACAUUCUGUGGUCAUAUUUUUUUGCUUCCUCUAACAUGGUCAUAUGUUCCUUGAGACGUUUUUUGUCAAGAAAGGAAAUACCAUAAACUCUUUGCAGGCUUUCCCUAUCUGCACUGCCCCUCCAAUAGGAUGAUGAAGCCUUUAAGCAAGUAAAUGCUUUUACAAAUGACGUGUUUGGGAUAUGUGGCCCGCGACAGAGGUCAACUAAAGGACCACAUCUGUAGACAGUGAUCGUCUUGUCCUCAGACAAUUCAUUAAUAAGUUCUACCUUAAAUUUGUUUUCUGCAAAUAUUUCUAGUGCUUGUUUCCGAGAGACUUCAAUUCGUUCAAAAGGUUGCUUUUCCUCAACAGCUUUUU